AUUGAACGCUGGCGGCAGGCCUAACACAUGCAAGUCGAGCGGAUGAAGGGAGCUUGCUCCUGGAUUCAGCGGCGGACGGGUGAGUAAUGCCUAGGAAUCUGCCUGGUAGUGGGGGAUAACGUCCGGAAACGGGCGCUAAUACCGCAUACGUCCUGAGGGAGAAAGUGGGGGAUCUUCGGACCUCACGCUAUCAGAUGAGCCUAGGUCGGAUUAGCUAGUUGGUGGGGUAAAGGCCUACCAAGGCGACGAUCCGUAACUGGUCUGAGAGGAUGAUCAGUCACACUGGAACUGAGACACGGUCCAGACUCCUAGGGGAGGCAGCAGUGGGGAAUAUUGGACAAGGGGCGAAAGCCUGAUCCAGCCAUGCCGCGUGUGUGAAGAAGGUCUUCGGAUUGUAAAGCACUUAAAGUUGGGAGGAAGGGCAGUAAGUUAAUACCGUGCUGUUUUGACGUUACCAACAGAAUAAGCACCGGCUAACUUCGUG
RNAcentral lists this ribosomal RNA (484 nucleotides) under uncultured bacterium. RNAcentral's name for it is "partial 16S ribosomal RNA". It matches the Rfam family "Bacterial small subunit ribosomal RNA", at positions 30 to 507 of the family's 1533-position model. The record is from RNAcentral.